GGGUGAGUAACGCGUAAGUAAUCUACCCUGGCAUCUGGAAUAACCCACCGAAAGGUGUGCUAAUACCGGAUACGCUGAUUUAUCAGGAAAGGUGGCCUCUUCAUGAAAGCUACUGUGCCGGGAGGAGCUUGCGUACCAUUAGCUAGUUGGUGGGGUAAUGGCCUACCAAGGCGACGAUGGUUAGCGGGUCUGAGAGGAUGAUCCGCCACACUGGAACUGGAACACGGACCAGACUCCUACGGGAGGCAGCAGUGAGGAAUAUUGCGCAAUGGGGGAAACCCUGACGCAGCGACGCCGCGUGGAUGAUGAAGGCCUUCGGGUCGUAAAAUCCUGUCAGAUGGAAAGAAAUGGUAUAUGCCUAAUAUGUGUAUACUUUGACGGUACCAUCAAAGGAAGCACCGGCUAACUCCGUGCCAGCAGCCGCGGUAAUACGGAGGGUGCAAGCGUUGUUCGGAAUUACUGGGCGUAAAGCGCGCGUAGGCGGCUUUUUAAGUCAGAUGUGAAAGUCCACGGCUCAACCGUGGAAGUGCAUUUGAUACUGGGAAGCUUGAGUACUGGAGGGGAUGGUGGAAUUCCCGGUGUAGAGGUGAAAUUCGUAGAUAUCGGGAGGAAUACCGGUGGCGAAGGCGACCAUCUGGCCAGAUACUGACGCUGAGGUGCGAAAGCGUG
Molecule: ribosomal RNA, 669 nt
Filed under: Desulfopila sp. PR8_B06
Lineage: Bacteria; Pseudomonadati; Thermodesulfobacteriota; Desulfobulbia; Desulfobulbales; Desulfocapsaceae
Also listed under: 1 other name
Description: bacterial SSU rRNA
Rfam family: Bacterial small subunit ribosomal RNA
Source: RNAcentral